UCUAGCUCAGUCACUAGAGCAUGGGACUCUUAAUCUCAGAGUUGUGGAUUCAAGCCCCACAUUGGGUAAAAG
This is a non-coding RNA of Podarcis lilfordi (Lilford's wall lizard), 72 nucleotides long. The record is from the annotation of a GenBank genome assembly. NCBI's taxonomy places the organism in Eukaryota, Metazoa, Chordata, Lepidosauria, Squamata, Lacertidae.